This 407-nucleotide ribosomal RNA is filed under the name uncultured bacterium. RNAcentral's name for it is "partial 16S ribosomal RNA". It matches the Rfam family "Bacterial small subunit ribosomal RNA", at positions 30 to 526 of the family's 1533-position model. The record is from RNAcentral.
AUUGAACGCUAGCGGGAGGCUUUACACAUGCAAGUCGAACGGAGUGGCGGACGGGUGAGUAAUAUAUCGGAACGUGCCCAGUAGCGGGGGAUAACUACUAGAAAGAGGGGCUAAUACCGCAUCCUAUUGGAGCCGCCGAUAUCGGAUUAGCUAGUUGGUGGGGUAAAGGCUCACAAAGGCAACGAUCCGUAGCUGGUUUGAGAGGACGACCAGCCACACUGGAACUGAGACACGGUCCAGACUCCUACGGGAGGCAGCAGUGGGGAAUAUUGCACAAUGGGCGAAAGCCUGAUGCAGCCAUGCCGCGUGUAUGAAGAAGGUUUUCGGGUCGUAAAGCUCUGUUGUUGGGGAGGCGGUAUCUGACCAAGAAGCCACGGCUAACUACGUGCCAGCAGCCGCGGUAAUUC